This 497-nucleotide ribosomal RNA is filed under the name uncultured bacterium. RNAcentral's name for it is "partial 16S ribosomal RNA". It matches the Rfam family "Bacterial small subunit ribosomal RNA", at positions 28 to 507 of the family's 1533-position model. The record is from RNAcentral.
GAUGAACGCUGGCGGCGUGCCUAAUACAUGCAAGUCGAGCGAACAGACGAGGAGCUUGCUCCUCUGACGUUAGCGGCGGACGGGUGAGUAACACGUGGAUAACCUACCUAUAAGACUGGUAUAACUUCGGGAAACCGGAGCUAAUACCGGAUAAUAUAUUGAACCGCAUGGUUCAAUAGUGAAAGACGGUUUUGCUGUCACUUAUAGAUGGAUCCGCGCCGCAUGAGCUAGUUGGUAAGUUAACGGCUUACCAAGGCAACGAUGCGUAGCCGACCUGAGAGGGUGAUCGGCCACACUGGAACGGAGACACGGUCCAGACGCCUACGGGAGGCAGCAGUAGGGAAUCUUCCGCAAUGGGCGAAAGCCUGACGGAGCAACGCCGCGUGAGUGAUGAAGGUCUUCGGAUCGGAAAACUCUGUUAUUAGGGAAGAACAAAUGUGUAAGUAACUAUGCACGUCGUGACGGUACCUAAUCAGAAAGCCACGGCUAACUACGUG